This 406-nucleotide ribosomal RNA is filed under the name uncultured bacterium. RNAcentral's name for it is "partial 16S ribosomal RNA". It matches the Rfam family "Bacterial small subunit ribosomal RNA", at positions 30 to 526 of the family's 1533-position model. The record is from RNAcentral.
AUUGAACGCUGGCGGCAGGCCUAACACAUGCAAGUCGAGCGGAGCGGCGGACGGGUGAGUAAUGCCUAGGAAUCUACCUGGUAGUGGGGGAUACGUCCGGAAACGGGCGCUAAUCCCGCAUACUAUCCGAUGAGCCUAGGUCGGAUUAGCUAGUUGGUGGGGUAAAGGCCUACCAAGGCGACGAUCCCUAACUGGUCUGAGAGGAUGAUCAGUCACACUGUAACGGAGACACGGUCCAGACUCCUACGUGGGGCAGCAGUGGGGAAUAUUGGACAAUGGGCGAAAGCCUGAUCCAGCCAUGCCGCGUGUGUGAAGAAGGUCUUCGGAUUGUAAAGCACUUUAAGUUGGGAGGCGUCACCAACAGAAUAAGCACCGGCUAACUUCGUGCCAGCAGCCGCGGUAAUUC